GGUCUCAUAGUUUAAAGAAAAUAAAGAAUUGCAAAUUCUAGGAUGUGCCUUGAUCGGCGCUGAGACUU
Molecule: transfer RNA, 68 nt
Filed under: Balanoglossus carnosus
Lineage: Eukaryota; Metazoa; Hemichordata; Enteropneusta; Ptychoderidae
Description: tRNA-Cys
Source: RNAcentral